AAACUGGGUCUGAGAAGACCUUUCCCGCCAGCACAACUGCGUUUGCAAACAGACGCUCGCCUGAGAUCCCGCGAGAUCUCUCCGCUCUGUUCCUUAGGCACGAAAUGCGCAAGCACAAAACUUGGCGGUCUUUUCCUUUUCGUGAAUGAGGCUUCGUUUCACAGAUCCAGAACAAAGCAAAGCAACCAACAUAUUCUCAUGAAGCAAAGCUUGAAAAAGUCUGACUUGAGAUUUGAAGUGACUGGCUUUAUCAACACUUUGGCAAGUUUUGUAUUGGUCAAUCAGAAAAUAAGAUCUCCAGGCUUUGUAGAAUCUCUACAAAUGUGCAAGUUCUCUAACUACAAAUGUGCAAGUUCCUGAUCUUCAGCUGAGAAUAUCCAAGAUUGCUAAGAUUCAAAAAGACAGAAUUUUUGUUAAAAAUAUCUCAUAUUUUGUGUAAGGAUAUGGUAGGAAGGUGGCAACGGAUAAUUUUCUUCCCUCACUAAACAAGGAAAAGUAGCAGCAAUCUUGCAGAAACCACUUUUGGUGGCUGCCAACCUCCCUUGACUUGUGCCUGUAUCGCUCCAAUCACCAAGACAAGCCUCUUCAAAUGUCUCUGUUGAGUCUUCAUAUCACCUCCUCUUUGAUUAAAAUCUCACUCUUGUAAGUAUACAUGUAUUGCAUUUAGAGCUCAGCCAGUUAUUUCAAGAUAAACUCCCCAUGUCAAGAUCACUCUUGCAGUCAAAACUACAAAAAGCCUAGAUCUUUUUGCUUUGUUUUGUUUUACUUUUUGGGAAAAUAAGGGAACAUUCACAGGUUCUAGGGAUUAGGACAUGUGUAUGUUUUAGGGGUUAAUUUGUUCUGUUGACCACAGUAGGCAUUUAGCAAGUAUCCAAGUUUCUGCUAAAAAGUUUUGCAUACUACAAAAAUAAGUCCUAUUGACUUUCUAGCCACCUUUAAGAUAUUCAUCAAGGCACAAUUACUACUUCAAUCAAUCAAUCAAUAAUAACAACAAGUACAAUUAGCACGUAUAUAUGGCUAGGAACCAGGCUCUGUUCUAAGUACUUAACAUUUACUAACACACUGUAGAGGAAAUCUCCUUCCAAAACUAUCUUUGAAUGUGAGAAUGAGGUCAGUUUCCCUCUACUGGUGCAUAGUUGUUGUCAGACUUUUAAAUUAAACCCAUUGCCCCCUAGAUACAGGAGAUACAAAAAUUUACUUUUAAUUCUGGAUAUUUUCCAUCUACUUCUCAACCACGGUAGAUAACGCUCCAUCUACAAACUGAAAAGUACCAUGGAAUGGUGUUAUUUUCGUUUAUUCAUCAACAAUGACACUUCCAUUAGGCACCCAUAGCCUUGGCUAUGGAAAAUAGAGUCAUUUUCAAGAAUGUAAGGUAUAAAUACAAUUUUGCUAAUUUAAAUAAGACCUAAAGCAUAAAAAUGCAAUUAUUAAAUACAGAAUUUUUUUUUUUUGCAAAUCAGUUAAUGAGGAGAUUACUAAUGCUUUUUUAUGAUUGUUUACAUUUUAAUGCCAGUAAAACCAGCCACUUUCCUUCUUUCAAUUAAGUGUGCUAAACUCUCUAGCUUAAUGGGAAACGACUGAACGUUUGAAUGAGUGCUCCUAUUGAGGCUUAAAUAACAUUUUUGAAAAACAUGACAAACUUCUCAGCAUAGGUAACUGAUUCAUUAUGAAAUAUAUUAAAAUUUUGCAACCAA
Molecule: long non-coding RNA, 1694 nt
Organism: Felis catus (domestic cat)
Lineage: Eukaryota; Metazoa; Chordata; Mammalia; Carnivora; Felidae
Exons: 5
Source: RefSeq, a predicted model, not a curated record